This is a long non-coding RNA of Cyprinus carpio (common carp), 362 nucleotides long. RefSeq lists it as uncharacterized. NCBI's taxonomy places the organism in Eukaryota, Metazoa, Chordata, Actinopteri, Cypriniformes, Cyprinidae. The transcript has 2 exons. The record is from RefSeq and is a predicted model, not a curated record.
GACAAAGACAUUUCAUUCAUUCAUAACGCCAACACCCCCUCACCCACCCAUAAAGUUUUGUGUAGGGCCCCCAGAAGUCAAGGAUCAGCACUGAGCACGCGCGCACACACACACACACACACAGACACACACACACACACACAGAGACACAAGUAUUUAUUUGUUUAUUUAUUUUGUUUUAACAGAUGGAAACAAAGACAUUCUCGGUGGUAGAAUUUGCAGAUGACAAUUCUGUGGAAAUUGUCCCAACCACAUGGCUGGAGGAAACCACCAAAGGAACCAUUUGCUUUUGGACGUUUUUAAACACAAGGCAGCUGGUGAGAAAUAAAGCAUUGCCUGACAAGCAAAAGUGGAGGCGGUUA